Molecule: transfer RNA, 66 nt
Filed under: Pandalus borealis (northern shrimp)
Lineage: Eukaryota; Metazoa; Arthropoda; Malacostraca; Decapoda; Pandalidae
Description: tRNA-Asn
Source: RNAcentral
UUAGUUAAAGCCAAAUUAGCGGCCUACCACUGUUAAUGGUAAAACUGAACCGUAGUUCUAACUAAG